RNAcentral lists this ribosomal RNA (468 nucleotides) under uncultured bacterium. RNAcentral describes it as "partial 16S ribosomal RNA". It matches the Rfam family "Bacterial small subunit ribosomal RNA", at positions 28 to 507 of the family's 1533-position model. The record is from RNAcentral.
GACGAACGCUGGCGGCGUGCUUAACACAUGCAAGUCGAACGGAAAGGCCCUGCUUGUGUGGGGUGCUCGAGUGGCGAACGGGUGAGUAACACGUGAGUAACCUGCCCCUGACUUUGGGAUAACUUCAGGAAACUGGGGCUAAUACCGGAUAGGAGCUCCUGCUGCAUGGUGGGGGUUGGAAAUUUUCGGCGGGUGGGGAUGGACUCGCGGCUUAUCAGCUUGUUGGUGGGGUAGUGGCUUACCAAGGCUUUGACGGGUGGCCGGCCUGAGAGGGUGACCGGCAACAUUGGGACUGGGAUACGGCCCGGACUCCUACGGGGGGCAGCAGUGGGGAAUAUUGCACAAUGGGCGGAAGCCUAAUGCAGCAACGCCGCGGGCGGGAUGACGGCCUUUGGGUUGUAAACCGCUUUCGCCUGUAACGAAGCGUGAGUGACGGUAAUGAGUAAAGAAGCACCGGCUAACUACGUG